Long non-coding RNA from Pseudoliparis swirei, 770 nucleotides. RefSeq lists it as uncharacterized. The transcript is spliced from 3 exons. The record is from RefSeq and is a predicted model, not a curated record. NCBI's taxonomy places the organism in Eukaryota, Metazoa, Chordata, Actinopteri, Perciformes, Liparidae.
CCUGGGUGUCCAGUCGGUCAUACAGAGGGCUGGUCCGCAGCUGACGGCCAGUCUGAAAGUCCCAGCGCGGAACCUUGAGUUCGUACAGCAGGGCUGGAAACACACACACAAACUUUAAAAAGGUGCUGGAAACACUACAUCAUGAAUCUGACUGCUGUGAACGAGUCACAAUGGAAACGUAGAGAGUAGUUUUCUGUAAGUUUCUUUGGUUAAAGGACAAAGUACAUUCAAAUAGUUAUCAGAGGAUGUCAUCGUUCCUUUCUCUCAAAACCACACACAUCCUCUUUUCAAGCCGAUACGAGGCUUCUGCAGUGGGCGUUUGUUACAUCAGGAGGGUAUUUUCCAAAGUGAGGGUCUUUGACAUAAAAGAGUUCUCAGACAGCGCGUCCUUGCUGAAUUGCAACGGAAAUAAAGUAAAACAAAGAGAUGUUGUGCGAGAAAACGUUGAAAGAUACCACCUUGUUUGUCGCACCUAGACAUAUCAUCUUCAGCUGAACUUGAGAUUCCUUUUUGCAAGGACGGUGGACUUUGUCUGCAAUCUCUUACACUGGAAUCUUGCUGGGAGUGGAUCUCUUCGUUUACCACGCAAAGGAAGGUUCGGCUGCUCUGCAGGUUGCCAAAGCGCUUGAUGUCCAGGGGCCAGACAUUGGCAGUGGGGUAGCCGUAGGUCAUCCACUCUGCCAGCUCCUCCAGCAAAGGCCAGGCCAGAGGAGUUCAUGCCUGCCAGCACGUAGUAGCCACAGACAGCCGGCAUCUCCCCCAUCAGGCAG